CAGCACUCCUGAGAGACCAGCUUUCUCUCUGAUCUUAGAGCUGAAGAAGUACACAGUCACAUCCAAGGGCUGUUGUGUGAUCUGUGAUUCUCCAGCCUCUGUCACCAUGAACUGUAAGUUGCUGUCUCAUCUUUAAUGAACUGGGACUCGGGCUUUUGUUACGCCAAUGGAAAAUAAAAAACAGACUGCUGAUAUCUG
Long non-coding RNA from Mastomys coucha (southern multimammate mouse), 198 nucleotides. RefSeq lists it as uncharacterized. The record is from RefSeq and is a predicted model, not a curated record. The transcript has 2 exons. NCBI's taxonomy places the organism in Eukaryota, Metazoa, Chordata, Mammalia, Rodentia, Muridae.